RNAcentral lists this transfer RNA (86 nucleotides) under Thermaerobacter sp. RNAcentral's name for it is "tRNA-Arg". The record is from RNAcentral. Lineage: Bacteria; Bacillati; Bacillota; Clostridia; Eubacteriales; Clostridiales Family XVII. Incertae Sedis.
GUAGUGUAUCGGAGAAACCCUGUAGACACCGUGGUGCGGGUCUUCUAAUCCCGGCGUCGCAGGUUCGAAUCCUGCCGGGAACACCA